Molecule: ribosomal RNA, 424 nt
Filed under: uncultured bacterium
Lineage: Bacteria
Also listed under: 1 other name
Description: bacterial SSU rRNA
Rfam family: Bacterial small subunit ribosomal RNA
Source: RNAcentral
UGAGGAAUAUUGGUCAAUGGGCGCAAGCCUGAACCAGCCAUCCCGCGUGCAGGAAGACGGCGCUAUGCGUUGUAAACUGCUUUUCCAGGGAGAGAAACUUGCGCACGUGUUGCGCAAUUGACGGUACCCUGGGAAUAAGCAUCGGCUAACUCCGUGCCAGCAGCCGCGGUAAUACGGAGGAUGCGAGCGUUAUCCGGAUUCAUUGGGUUUAAAGGGUGCGUAGGCGGACUAUUAAGUCAGUGGUGAAAUCCUGCAGCUUAACUGCAGAACUGCCAUUGAUACUGAUAGCCUUGAGUUUGGUUAAGGUAGGCGGAAUGUGUAAUGUAGCGGUGAAAUGCUUAGAUAUUACACAGAACACCAAUUGCGUAGGCAGCUUACUGAGCCGACACUGACGCUGAGGCACGAAAGCGUGGGGAUCGAACAG